RNAcentral lists this ribosomal RNA (492 nucleotides) under uncultured bacterium. RNAcentral's name for it is "partial 16S ribosomal RNA". It matches the Rfam family "Bacterial small subunit ribosomal RNA", at positions 29 to 507 of the family's 1533-position model. The record is from RNAcentral.
AGUGAACGCUGGCGGUAGGCCUAACACAUGCAAGUCGAACGGCAACACAGUAAGAGCUUGCUCUUACGGGUGGCGAGUGGCGGACGGGUGAGGAAUACAUCGGAAUCUACUUUUUCGUGGGGGAUAACGUAGGGAAACUUACGCUAAUACCGCAUACGACCUACGGGUGAAAGCAGUGGAUCUUCGGACCUUGCGCGAUUGAAUGAGCCGAUGUCGGAUUAGCUAGUUGGCGGGGUAAAGGCCCACCAAGGCGACGAUCCGUAGCUGGUCUGAGAGGAUGAUCAGCCACACUGGAACUGAGACACGGUCAAGACUCCUACGGGAGGCAGCAGUGGGGAAUAUUGGACAAUGGGCGCAAGCCUGAUCCAGCCAUACCGCGUGGGUGAAGAAGGCCUUCGGGUUGUAAAGCCCUUUUGUUGGGAAAGAAAAGCAGCAGGUUAAUACCCCGCUGUUCUGACGGUACCCAAAGAAUAAGCACCGGCUAACUUCGUG